This 775-nucleotide ribosomal RNA is filed under the name uncultured Neocallimastigales. RNAcentral's name for it is "partial large subunit ribosomal RNA". It matches the Rfam family "Eukaryotic large subunit ribosomal RNA", at positions 23 to 644 of the family's 3401-position model. Lineage: Eukaryota; Fungi; Neocallimastigomycota; Neocallimastigomycetes; Neocallimastigales. The record is from RNAcentral.
AGAGAGAGACAUGCGCGCAUAUCAAUAAGCGGAGGAAAGGAAACUAACAAGGAUUCCCUUAGUAACGGCGAGUGAAGCGGGAAGAGCUCAAAUUUGAAAUCUUCAAGGUUCUACCUUGACGAAUUGUAGUUUAUAGAAGUGUUUUCUGUUAGUGGAGUGGCAAAGGUUCUUUGGAAUAGGACAUCAUAGAGGGUGAGAAUCCCGUAUUUGGUCAUUCCUCCUAGCGUUGUGAUACACUUUCAACGAGUCGGAUUGUUUGGGAAUGCAGUCCAAAAUGGGUGGUAAAUUUCAUCUAAAGCUAAAUAUUGGCGAGAGACCGAUAGCGAACAAGUACCGUGAGGGAAAGAUGAAAAGAACUUUGAAAAGAGAGUUAAACAGUACGUGAAAUUGUCAAAAGGGAAGCGUUUGACACCAGUGUUGUUUUUCCGAAAAUCAAUUACGAAUGUUUUAUUUUUGAGGAGUUAUGACUUCAUCGGCUUGCUCCUUUCUUUAUGAAACUUUCUUAAUGCACUUUUCGGUUAACAAGUCAACAUCAAUUUCUUUUGUUGUAAAAGGGUAUGAGGAAGGUGGCUUUCUUUUCGGAGAAAGUGUUUAUAGCCUUGUGCCUCUGCAAUCGGAGAGAUUGAGGUCUGCAGCGUAGAUCCUUCGGGGUUAGAUACGUUUGUGCUAAGUUAUAGGCUUUUCAUAGACAACUUGUUGACUAUGUUUAGUCUUGUAGCUUACUCGCUUAUGCUAUUUUACCUACGCUUAGGAUGUUGAUAGUCACAGCGUGUAC